CAGCAGCCACGGUAAUACGGAGGGGGCUAGCGUUGUUCGGAAUUACUGGGCGUAAAGCGCACGUAGGCGGCUUUGUAAGUUAGAGGUGAAAGCCCGGAGCUCAACUCCGGAAUUGCCUUUAAGACUGCAGAGCUAGCAGGUGAGAGAGGUGAGUGGAAUUCCGAGUGUAGAGGUGAAAUUCGUAGAGAUCGGGAGGAACAUCAGCGGCGAAGGCGGCCAUCUGGGACAACACUGACGCUGAGGCACGAAAGCGUGGGGAGCAAACAGGAUUAGAUACCCGCGUAGUCCCUGUCUCUUAUAC
RNAcentral lists this ribosomal RNA (301 nucleotides) under uncultured bacterium. Its description in RNAcentral is "partial 16S ribosomal RNA". It matches the Rfam family "Bacterial small subunit ribosomal RNA", at positions 509 to 807 of the family's 1533-position model. The record is from RNAcentral.